CAGCAGUUACUCCAUAAUUUUAUAAAACAAAAUAAAUAAUUUACACCAUCUAUAAAUAUAACCUCACAAACUAUCACAAUACGAAUUCCACCUAUCACAAUACGAAUUCCAUAGCCAAAAAAUCGAUCUCCACAAAAAUCAUUCUCAUUUUUUCAUUUUACGUUGAAAUGGCUCCUUUGUUCGGCGUCAUCAAGGAAUUGGAACCAGGAAAGAGCAAGAUCGCAUUGCAAUUGCGCUUGAUAAGAAGUUAUGACAUCUUCAAGUUCAACAACAGAUCUGAAACAUUUUCUCAUGAGUGUGUGUUCCAUGAUAAAGAGGUACUCACUCAAUACACUAUUUUUUUAUAUUUUCGAAAAUUUCAAAUAU
This 366-nucleotide long non-coding RNA is filed under the name Salvia miltiorrhiza (redroot sage). Its description in RNAcentral is "long non-coding RNA (SMIL_LNC007218)". Lineage: Eukaryota; Viridiplantae; Streptophyta; Magnoliopsida; Lamiales; Lamiaceae. The record is from RNAcentral.